GACGAACGCUGGCGGCGUGCUUAACACAUGCAAGUCGAACGGUGAAGCGCCUUCCUUUUUGGUGGGUGUGGAUGAGUGGCGAACGGGUGAGUAACACGUGAGUAACCUGCCCCCUUCUUCUGGAUAACCGCAUGAAAGUGUGGCUAAUACGGGAUAUUCUGGGUCUGUCGCAUGAUGGGUCUGGGAAAGAUAUUGUUUCGGUGGGGGAUGGGCUCGCGGCCUAUCAGCUUGUUGGUGGGGUAAUGGCCUACCAAGGCGGUGACGGGUAGCCGGCCUGAGAGGGUGGACGGUCACACUGGGACUGAGACACGGCCCAGACUCCUACGGGAGGCAGCAGUGGGGAAUAUUGCACAAUGGGCGCAAGCCUGAUGCAGCGACGCCGCGUGAGGGAUGGAGGCCUUCGGGUUGUGAACCUCUUUCGCCAGUGAAGCAGGCCUGCCUCGUUUGUGGGUGGGUUGACGGUAGCUGGAUAAGAAGCGCCGGCUAACUACGUG
Molecule: ribosomal RNA, 494 nt
Filed under: uncultured bacterium
Lineage: Bacteria
Description: partial 16S ribosomal RNA
Rfam family: Bacterial small subunit ribosomal RNA
Source: RNAcentral